ACUAUUCAGACCGUUCCGAGCUGUACGUGGCACCGACUGUCGAUCUUGUGCAAAAGCGUAUAUACAACUAAUACAAAUAUGUCAGAUGCAGAACGGACUACUAGGAACGCUGCAACUGGUGGUUUAAUAGCGGGUGCCUACACUGGGGCGGCAAUCGGCGGAAUGGUCGGGGGGCCGGCAGGAGCGGUCAUUGGGGGCAUUUGGGGAGCCGGGCUGGGCACAAUAACGGUCGGGACUACGGCCGCCCUCAUCACGGGCCAUCGUGGCUAACAAUUGACAAAGGAUAUUGCUCUGCAAAUUUUGGAACAGUAAAUUGUAAACUGAAAUACAGUCAAAACCAUAUUAUUUAACUGUCAAAAUUGUGUAAAAAGUAUAACAGACGGUAGAUGUCAUAUACU
Cydia amplana is the source of this 398-nucleotide long non-coding RNA. RefSeq lists it as uncharacterized. The transcript has 4 exons. Lineage: Eukaryota; Metazoa; Arthropoda; Insecta; Lepidoptera; Tortricidae. The record is from RefSeq and is a predicted model, not a curated record.